RNAcentral lists this ribosomal RNA (497 nucleotides) under uncultured bacterium. RNAcentral describes it as "partial 16S ribosomal RNA". It matches the Rfam family "Bacterial small subunit ribosomal RNA", at positions 28 to 507 of the family's 1533-position model. The record is from RNAcentral.
GAUGAACGCUGGCGGCGUGCCUAAUACAUGCAAGUCGAGCGAACGGACGAGAAGCUUGCUUCUCUGAUGUUAGCGGCGGACGUGUGAGUAACACGUGGAUAACCUACCUAUAAGACUGGGAUAACUUCGUGAAACCGGAGCUAAUACCGGAUGAUAUUUUGAACCGCAUGGUUCAAAAGUGAAAGACGGUCUUGCUGUCACUUAUAGAUGGAUCCGCGCUGCAUUAGCUAGUUGGUAAGGUAACGGCUUACCAAGGCAACGAUGCAUAUCCGACGUGAGAGGGGGAUCGGCAACACUGGAAGUGAGACACGGACCAGACUACUACGGGAGGCAGCAGAAGGGAAUAUUCCGCAAUGGGCGAAAGAAUGACGGAGCAACGCCGAGUGAGUGAUGAAGGUCUUCGGAUCGUAAAACUCUGUUAUUAGGGAAGAACAUAUGUGUAAGUAAAUGUGCACAUAUUGACGGUACCUAAUCAGAAAGCAACGGCUAACUACGUG